GUGGGUUUUUCUGGGUCAGGGAGUUUUGUGUCGGUGGUGGUGGUGGAGUAUGGUGUUUGUAUUUCUAGGCUUCCCAUCAUGGGUUAGAGAAGUGGAGGUAGAGAAGGGUUGGGAAUUCAGGAGGAGAAGGAGAAAGGGUAGCUUCAGAGAAGGACCCCAAGCUCUAGAAGAAUUCACCAAUACACAUAUCUUGAGAAGUGAGAUUUACAUAUCCAUAUUAUGGGGUAUUACAACUGUCAGAGAUAUAAAUUAGUUUUAGAACAUCACCUAAUAGUUUAAAUUUUUUAUUGGCAAUAAUAUCUUGAUGUAAUUUUAUAAUUUUUAUAAGAUAAAAUAGACUUGCGCUUUGCACACUUUAAA
This is a long non-coding RNA of Ricinus communis (castor bean), 360 nucleotides long. RefSeq lists it as uncharacterized. The transcript is spliced from 2 exons. The record is from RefSeq and is a predicted model, not a curated record. NCBI's taxonomy places the organism in Eukaryota, Viridiplantae, Streptophyta, Magnoliopsida, Malpighiales, Euphorbiaceae.